This 429-nucleotide ribosomal RNA is filed under the name Bacteroidota bacterium. RNAcentral describes it as "Bacteroidetes bacterium partial 16S ribosomal RNA". It matches the Rfam family "Bacterial small subunit ribosomal RNA", at positions 355 to 776 of the family's 1533-position model. The record is from RNAcentral. Lineage: Bacteria; Pseudomonadati; Bacteroidota.
UAGGGAAUCUUCGGCAAUGGGGGGAACCCUGACCGAGCAACGCCGCGCGAGUGAAGAAGGUUUUCGGAUCGUAUAGCUCUGUUGCUACGGAAGAACGAGUGUGAGAAUGGAAAGUUCAUACUGUGACGGUACUUAACCAGAAAGGGACGGCUAACUGCGUGCCAGCAGCCGCGGUAAUACGUAGGUCCCGAGCGUUGUCCGGAUUUAUUGGGCGUAAAGCGAGCGCAGGCGGUUAGAUAAGUCUGAAGUUAAAGGCAGUGGCUCAACCAUUGUAGGCUUUGGAAACUGUUUAACUUGAGUGCAGAAGGGGAGAGUGGAAUUCCAUGUGUAGCGGUGAAAUGCGUAGAUAUAUGGAGGAACACCGGUGGCGAAAGCGGCUCUCUGGUCUGUAACUGACGCUGAGGCUCGAAAGCGUGGGGAGCGAACAGG